GCAUAAUAUUUGUUAUUUUCGGGCUUAAUACGCAAGAGCAAAGCAUUCGCACUUUGUUCUUCAUUCCCUUUCUAAUCUCUUGUACAAAUUUACAGUUCUUUCUUUUACAAACAGUUUUUUCUUUUACAAAAGAUAUGACUAAUUGCAUUCGCAAAUCCCAACUCGUCUCUACAUUCUCUUCUAACUCGGUCAACGCCCACUCAACCUCUCUGUGAUUCACAACUCAUAUCCGUGUCAGCUCAUCUCAACUUUACAACUCAUUCUUGAGCUCCGAUCACACGCCCGGAUUAACACUGAGUUCACCCCUGGCCCCAGCAGUUUAGGUACAUCACUCGUCGAAAAGACUCAUCGUUUUCCCUCACUCCGUCCAAGCGAGGACUUUUAGGAACUCCGUCGCGAUCUGAUCCGGCUGCUCCAGCUAGUGGCCGGAGCUCCGACGAUUCUCCGGUGGGGAACAGCCUUCUCUUGCCGUGCUGCAGAGACUUGAAGCUGGAUGUCCAUUUAUAGCCUUGGUCUGCACGGCCUUGAACGACGGCCACGCUGGCUGCCAUGUAAACACGAUUCAGGUAACUCAUUUUCCUAUGAUGAGAGUAAUUUGUUAUUGGUCUACUGGGCGAUGAGAGGAGGAGGGUGUUUUUAUAGAAAGAAAGAGCGGUUUUAUAAAACUGGAAACAGGAAACAGAAAGUGGUUUUGGGAUAAUAAUGGAGGGCCCGAUAAUGGAGGUUGUUUUCUUGUGGCCUUUUCUGGGUCUUGGUUUUAUUGAUUGUAUACAGAAAUGAGCUUAUCAGGAAUCUCUCGAGAGAAAUUCACUUCUCGUGAUGUGAUAUCUCGCUGUGAAUGAAUCAAAA
Molecule: unclassified non-coding RNA, 849 nt
Filed under: Hevea brasiliensis (rubber tree)
Lineage: Eukaryota; Viridiplantae; Streptophyta; Magnoliopsida; Malpighiales; Euphorbiaceae
Source: RNAcentral